AGAGUUUGAUCCUGGCUCAGGAUGAACGCUGGCGGCAUGCCUAAUACAUGCAAGUCGAACGAGAGACCUUCGGGUCUCUAGUGGCGAACGGGUGAGUAACACGUAGGGAACCUGCCCGUGCGACCGGGAGAACUUUCGGAAACGGAAGCUGAUACCGGAUAGGGACAGAGACGGCAUCGACUCUGUGUUAAAGGAGCUGAAAGGCUCCGCGCACGGAUGGACCUGCGGUGCAUUAGCUGGUUGGUGAGGUAACGGCCCACCAAGGCGACGAUGCAUAGCCGGCCUGAGAGGGCGGACGGCCACACUGGGACUGAGACACGGCCCAGACUCCUACGGGAGGCAGCAGUAGGGAAUUUUCGUCAAUGGGCGCAAGCCUGAACGAGCAAUGCCGCGUGAACGAGGAAGGUCUUCGGAUCGUAAAGUUCUGUUGAAGGGGAAAAAGAGCGGAGAGAGGAAAUGGUCUCCGAUUGAUAUUACCCUUCGAGGAAGUCACGGCUAACUACGUGCCAGCAGCCGCGGUAAUACGUAGGUGGCGAGCGUUAUCCGGAAUGAUUGGGCGUAAAGGGUGCGUAGGCGGCCUGCUAAGUCUGGAGUGAAAGGUACCGGCUCAACCGGUACAGGCUCUGGAAACUGGCGGGCUAGAGAGCAGGAGAGGGCGGUGGAACUCCAUGUGUAGCGGUAAAAUGCGUAGAUAUAUGGAAGAACACCAGUGGCGAAGGCGGCCGCCUGGCCUGUUACUGACGCUGAGGCACGAAAGCGUGGGGAGCAAAUAGGAUUAGAUACCCUAGUAGUCCACGCCGUAAACGAUGAGGACCAAGUGUUGGGGAAGACCCAGUGCUGCAGUUAACGCAGUGAGUCCUCCGCCUGGGGAGUAUGCACGCAAGUGUGAAACUCAAAGGAAUUGACGGGGGCCCGCACAAGCGGUGGAGUAUGUGGUUUAAUUCGAAGCAACGCGAAGAACCUUACCAGGCCUUGACAUAGGGUGCGAAGCUGUGGAGACAUAGUGGAGGUAAACAUCCAUACAGGUGGUGCAUGGUUGUCGUCAGCUCGUGUCGUGAGAUGUUCAGUUAAGUCUGGCAACGAGCGCAACCCUCGUGAUGUGUUACCAAUAUCGAGUUAGGGACUCACAUCAGACUGCCGGUGAGAAACCGGAGGAAGGCGGGGAUGACGUCAAAUCAUCAUGCCCCUUAUGGCCUGGGCUACACACGUACUACAAUGGCGGCGACAGAGGGCAGCGAGCCUGCGAAGGCAAGCGAAUCCCAAAAAAGCCGUCCCAGUUCGGAUUGGAGUCUGCAACCCGACUCCAUGAAGUUGGAAUCGCUAGUAAUCGCGGAUCAGCAUGCCGCGGUGAAUACGUUCUCGGGCCUUGUACUCACCGCCCGUCA
Molecule: ribosomal RNA, 1385 nt
Filed under: uncultured bacterium
Lineage: Bacteria
Description: 16S ribosomal RNA
Rfam family: Bacterial small subunit ribosomal RNA
Source: RNAcentral